GAUGAAGAACGUAGCGAAAUGCGAUACUUGGUGUGAAUUGCAGAAUCCCGUGAACCAUCGAGUCUUUGAACGCAAGUUGCGCCCGAAGCCAUCAGGUUGAGGGCACGUCUGCCUGGGCGUCACAUAUCGUUGCCCAAUGCCUAUUGCAGUGCAAUAGGAAUUUCUAGGGCGAAUGAUGGCUUCCCGUGAGCGUUGUUGCCUCGCGGUUGGUUGAAAAUCGAGUCCUUGGUAGGGUGUGCCAUGGUAGAUGGUGGUCGAGUUAGAACGAUACCGAUCAUGUGCAUGCUCCCCAAAAUAUGGCCUCUAUGACCCACACGUGUCUUUUGACGCUCAUGACGAGACCUCAGGUCAGGCGGGGCUACCCGCUGAAUUUAAGCAUAUCAAUAAGCGGAGGA
RNAcentral lists this unclassified non-coding RNA (395 nucleotides) under soil metagenome. RNAcentral's name for it is "partial contains 5.8S ribosomal RNA, internal transcribed spacer 2, and large subunit ribosomal RNA". The stretch from base 1 to 122 matches the Rfam family "5.8S ribosomal RNA", at positions 35 to 154 of the family's 154-position model. The record is from RNAcentral.